CGGGAAGAGCUCAAAUUUGAAAGCUGCCGCAAGGCCGCGUUGUAAUCUCGAGAAGUGUUUUCCGCAGCGGACUGGAUACAAGUCCCUUGGAAUAGGGCGUCGUAGAGGGUGAGAAUCCCGUACUUGAUGCAGACGACCGUUGCUUUGUGAUACACUCUCCAC
RNAcentral lists this ribosomal RNA (162 nucleotides) under Tilletiariaceae sp. Its description in RNAcentral is "partial large subunit ribosomal RNA". It matches the Rfam family "Eukaryotic large subunit ribosomal RNA", at positions 99 to 261 of the family's 3401-position model. The record is from RNAcentral. Lineage: Eukaryota; Fungi; Basidiomycota; Exobasidiomycetes; Georgefischeriales; Tilletiariaceae.